Odontomachus brunneus is the source of this 830-nucleotide long non-coding RNA. RefSeq lists it as uncharacterized. The record is from RefSeq and is a predicted model, not a curated record. Lineage: Eukaryota; Metazoa; Arthropoda; Insecta; Hymenoptera; Formicidae. The transcript has 2 exons.
UUUAAAAAAAAAAAAAAAAAAAAGGAGAAAAAAAUAAUAAUUCGAUGAGCGCGACGACGGUGUUUCUCGCGAGCUCAACAUGCCUAAAUCGCGUCACUGUUUCCCUUUUUAUUACGCGAAUCCUCGCACGGACUACCGAUUCGGAUUGGAUUGGCAAGAGAGAGCCACGUCAAUGGGAUCGAAGGAGCUCCCACAAAACGAACGACGAAGGAGAUACUUGAACGAACGAAGCCACUCCGUAGUCGCUACGUCGUCGCAAGAAUUAAAUUGCGACUACCGAAUGAGGCAUGUCGACUGUCUUCGUGGCCUCGGGAAAGACGUCGCGCGACUCUGGCGAGGGAGACCGUGCGGAUCGUAACUCGCGACGUCCCCGUCGUAUUUGCAGAUGCACUUGAAACAAGACACCAGGAUGAACGCAAUGCACAUUCAACUGCCGCAGGAUUUCUAUUCCUGACGACGGGAUAAUGAUAAGGGGUGCACAAGGAUUAUACGUGAGGAAUAUCGUCGUCCGCUCUUCACCAUCAUUCAUCGUGAAAUUAAAUCGUAACAAAAUGUGACCCUACUACUAGAACAAAACAUCAAGUUGAUUAUCAAGAUUAUCAAGUCAAUAAACCCCAAAACGGAACAAACUCCUAGGGGGCUUUAAUUUUUUCCACACUCACUACACACUAAUUGUGUAACAUUGGUUCUUUUGGUUCUACAAAUCCUGUAACUUUCAACAAACUCUCUUUAUCCCUCCUUCUCUCUUUUUUUCUUUUAUACCUUAUUGGAAAAUUCAUGAAAAUAAAAUGAAGAAAAAGGAUAUUUUUAAUAAAUGACUUUUAGCUGUA